AUAUUGGACAAUGGGGGAAACUCGGAUCCAGCCAUCCCGCGUGUAUGAUGAAGGCCUUCGUGUUGUAAAGUACUUUUGGCAGAGAAGAAAAGGUACCUCCUAAUACGAGGUACUGCUGACGGUAUCUGAUGAUUAAGCAUCGGCUAACGACGUGCCAGCAGCCGCGGUAAUACGUAGGGUGCAAGCGUUAAUCGGAAUUACUGGGCGUAAAGCGUGUGUAGGCGGUUCGUAAAGAAAGAUGUGAAAUCCCAGGGCUCAACCUUGGAACUGCAUUUUUAACUGCCGAGCUAGAGUAUGUCAGAGGGGGGUAGAAUUCCACGUGUAGCAGUGAAAUGCGUAGAUAUGUGGAGAAAUACCGAUGGCGAAGGCAGCCCCCUGGGAUAAUACUGACGCUCAGACACGAAAGCGUGGGGAGCAAAC
This 420-nucleotide ribosomal RNA is filed under the name uncultured bacterium. RNAcentral's name for it is "partial 16S ribosomal RNA". It matches the Rfam family "Bacterial small subunit ribosomal RNA", at positions 361 to 773 of the family's 1533-position model. The record is from RNAcentral.